This 223-nucleotide long non-coding RNA is filed under the name Panax ginseng (ginseng). Its description in RNAcentral is "long non-coding RNA (PGIN_LNC017019)". The record is from RNAcentral. Lineage: Eukaryota; Viridiplantae; Streptophyta; Magnoliopsida; Apiales; Araliaceae.
UGAACGUGACUCGCUAAGGAAUACCUAAUAGAGUUUUACUUGCCUGUCAAUAGGAAUUCCUGUAGUGAUAGUAGUACAAAUAAUCCUUAGACUUGAGAUCAUCAUAGUAUCUUAUAUAUAAUGAAUUACACUUUGACUUAUUCCUUAAGACUCUUAGAGUAUAUCAAAGGGUAUGCUUGGGUGUAAUAAGUUAUAUAUGGAGAUAAUGAAUGUUCAAUAAAGA